This is a long non-coding RNA of Pomacea canaliculata, 1380 nucleotides long. RefSeq lists it as uncharacterized. The transcript has 3 exons. NCBI's taxonomy places the organism in Eukaryota, Metazoa, Mollusca, Gastropoda, Architaenioglossa, Ampullariidae. The record is from RefSeq and is a predicted model, not a curated record.
GUAAAUUAAAGUCUUUUCUGGACAUGAAUGUGUGGAUCUCUUAGGGCACAGUAGAAGAAAGGAAAUUUUUACUUUUUGUGUUAUACGGGCAGUGACUACAACAACCUCAGUAGAGCCAAUUAGACCCAAGGUCUGCCUUGUUCGCGAGCAGGUGGACCCGUACUUUUGAUGUUGAAUCACAAUCAGCAGGGACACGCUCUGGUAAAAUUGUACACACACCUGACCAUACUGUUGAACAUCUACGGUUGGACGAGGUGGACAACAAAGGCAGAAUAUAUUAUGGAGUGACACGGUCACAUCACUUCAUACGAGACUUAAGAAAGGUAAAGGUAUGUGAACUCGUUAACUUCAUAACAAUAGAGUUAUUCAUGAAAAGUCAAAUAAAAAGUCCAAGUAGUGGGCGACACUUGGAAUUGUAAGUCUCUAGGACAUUGCCGAAACUCUUGUCAAGUGUUGUGUGCAGCUCGACAGGAAGCUGCUGACUAACAUCACAACGGAUGUCCAAUGUGUUUGGUUGCAAGCUUCAGGUCUGGACAGGACACUAGGCUAGUAUCACAGGGUUUGGGUCAAGUUCACGAAGUAAAUAGUGCAACCUGAAGAGCACUGUCAGUGUCUCACAAUACUGAAUAUUCAUUUCGUGGCUCAUUCCUUACUUACAAGUAUACACACGUUCCCCAACCUUACCCUACAUAUUCACUGCUUGUGUAUUUCUGUCCCACUGACUUUUCUGUUUCUCUGUCUCUCUUUUAGAUCCUCGCAGUUUCUUUUUCCUUUUCCUAUUCUUUGUUGGAAUAUGACUCACAUCAACAUCACAAGGUCCAUGUGGUCUCGUGCAGCAGCGAGUGUCAACUAAGAUGGCUGCCUCCCAAUUUUGACCGGUCUCUUACACAGGGUCACAGAGAUAUACAACACCCUACACAAUCAGACACAUUGUAGUACAACUUAUGUCCACCCUGGCCCGAAUCGGUAGUAGAACAGUUUAUGUAGACACCAACACAAGUUAAAAGUGUAAUAGAGGAAAGUGAGCCUUUGUCAGACUACAAAGUAUCUGCCCUUUGCAGUUUAGAUAUAAACAGCAUGUUAUUAAUCAACACUAUUACAACCAUUAUUUAAUAACUGUAAAUUCUUUUAACAAAAAAUUAAGUUAAAAGUAGCAAUGAUUAGCUGGCAUUAUUUUGUGACUAUAUAAUUUUUCUGUUCUGAUGUGCUUAUUGUACUUUGGUAUUCUGUGAGGUUAGAUGAUAGACGGACACACUACUGUUACUGCUAAGAAACUUUGUUCAUAUUUACUUUUUAUGUGUGUGUGAUGGCUGGUUGUAAAAAGAUUGUAAUAAAAGAAUUUUUUGUUGCUUUAGAUCAGACCUGGGCAAACGCCGGCCC